This 173-nucleotide ribosomal RNA is filed under the name Clostridioides difficile. RNAcentral describes it as "partial 23S ribosomal RNA". It matches the Rfam family "Bacterial large subunit ribosomal RNA", at positions 2749 to 2925 of the family's 2925-position model. The record is from RNAcentral. Lineage: Bacteria; Bacillati; Bacillota; Clostridia; Peptostreptococcales; Peptostreptococcaceae.
CUAUGUACGGAAUGGAUAAGCGCUGAAAGCAUCUAAGCGCGAAGCCAACUUCAAGAUAAGAUUUCCCACCGCAAGGGUAAGACUCCAGAAAGACUAUCUGGUUGAUAGGUCGAAGGUGUAAGUGCAGCAAUGUAUUUAGCUUAUCGAUACUAAUAGGUCGAGGACUUGACCAA